RNAcentral lists this ribosomal RNA (494 nucleotides) under uncultured bacterium. RNAcentral's name for it is "partial 16S ribosomal RNA". It matches the Rfam family "Bacterial small subunit ribosomal RNA", at positions 28 to 507 of the family's 1533-position model. The record is from RNAcentral.
GACGAACGCUGGCGGCGUGCUUAACACAUGCAAGUCGAACGGUGAAGCGCCUUCCUUUUUGGUGGGUGUGGAUGAGUGGCGAACGGGUGAGUAACACGUGAGUAACCUGCCCCCUUCUUCUGGAUAACCGCAUGAAAGUGUGGCUAAUACGGGAUAUUCUGGGUCUGUCGCAUGAUGGGUCUGGGAAAGAUAUUGUUUCGGUGGGGGAUGGGCUCGCGGCCUAUCGGCUUGUUGGUGGGGUGAUGGCCUACCAAGGCGGUGACGGGUAGCCGGCCUGAGAGGGUGGCCGGUCACACUGGGACUGAGACACGGCCCAGACUCCUACGGGAGGCAGCAGUGGGGAAUAUUGCACAAUGGGCGCAAGCCUGAUGCAGCGGCGCCGCGUGAGGGAUGGAGGCCUUCGGGUUGUGAACCUCUUUCGCCAGUGAAGCAGGCCUGCCUCGUUUGUGGGUGGGUUGACGGUAGCUGGAUAAGAAGCGCCGGCUAACUACGUG